Molecule: ribosomal RNA, 497 nt
Filed under: uncultured bacterium
Lineage: Bacteria
Description: partial 16S ribosomal RNA
Rfam family: Bacterial small subunit ribosomal RNA
Source: RNAcentral
GAUGAACGCUGGCGGCGUGCCUAAUACAUGCAAGUCGAGCGAACGGACGAGAAGCUUGCUUCUCUGAUGUUAGCGGCGGACGGGUGAGUAACACGUGGAUAACCUACCUAUAAGACUGGGAUAACUUCGGGAAACCGGAGCUAAUACCGGAUAAUAUUUUGAACCGCAUGGUUCAAAAGUAAAAGACGGUCUUGCUGUCACUUAUAGAUGGAUCCGCGCUGCAUUAGCUAGUUGGUAAGGUAACGGCUUACCAAGGCAACGAUGCAUAGCCGACCUGAGAGGGUGAUCGGCCACACUGGAACUGAGACACGGUCCAGACUCCUACGGGAGGCAGCAGUAGGGAAUCUUCCGCAAUGGGCGAAAGCUUGACGGAGCAACGCCGCGUGAGUGAUGAAGGUCUUCGGAUCGUAAAACUCUGUUAUUAGGGAAGAACAUAUGUGUAAGUAACUGUGCACAUCUUGACGGUACCUAAUCAGAAAGCCACGGCUAACUACGUG